GGAUUCCCCUAGUAACUGCGAGUGAAGAGGGAUGAGCUCAAAUUUGAAAUCUGGCGGUCCCUUUUUGAACCGUCCGAGUUGUAGUCUGGAGAAGCGUCGUCGGCGUCGGACCGUGUCCAAGUCCCUUGGAACAGGGCGUCGCAGAGGGUGAGAAUCCCGUCUCUGACACGGACUGCCGGGGCCAUGUGAUGCGCUCUCGAAGAGUCGAGUUGUUUGGGAAUGCAGCUCAAAUAGGGUGGUAAACUCCAUCUAAAGCUAAAUACCGGCGAAAGACCGAUAGCGAACAAGUACCGUGAGGGAAAGAUGAAAAGCACUUUGAAAAGAGAGUUAAACAGGACGUGAAAUUGUUGAAAGGGAAACGCUUGGAGUCAGUCGCGCGUCCCUCCAGAGUCAGCCCCACAGCUCUGUGGGGUGCAUUUCUGUGGGGGACGGGCCAGCAUCGAUUUGAACCCUCGAAGAAGGGCGGCGGGGUCCACCUCCUUUUGGGAGCGGCCUUGCCGUCGCAAGCGAGGGUUUGGAUCGAGGGCCGCAGCACGUCGUGUCCGUUUUUCUUUUAAAACGGCUCGGUCCCGGGGGGUCGUCCCACGAUUUCUAAUGUGCUUAGGAUGCUGGCGUAAUGGCUUCAAGCGACCCGUCUUGAAACACGGACCAAGGAGUCUAACAUGCCUGCGAGUGUUUGGGUGGAAAACCCGAGCGCGUAAUGAAAGUGAGAUCGGGCUUUAUCGUUCGAGAGUUGGGAACCGCCUUGGAGUGUGGUGCACCGACGCCCGGGCCAGAGGCCAUUACCGGCUGAAGGCCCCGAGGUAGAGCACGCAUGUUGGGACCCGAAAGAUGGUGAACUAUGCCUGAGGAGGGCGAAGCCAGAGGAAACUCUGGUGGAGGCUCGUAGCGGUUCUGACGUGCAAAUCGAUCGUCGAACUUGGGUAUAGGGGCGAAAGACUA
Molecule: ribosomal RNA, 942 nt
Filed under: Gloeocantharellus sp.
Lineage: Eukaryota; Fungi; Basidiomycota; Agaricomycetes; Gomphales; Gomphaceae
Description: partial large subunit ribosomal RNA
Rfam family: Eukaryotic large subunit ribosomal RNA
Source: RNAcentral